This 512-nucleotide ribosomal RNA is filed under the name uncultured bacterium. RNAcentral's name for it is "partial 16S ribosomal RNA". It matches the Rfam family "Bacterial small subunit ribosomal RNA", at positions 28 to 523 of the family's 1533-position model. The record is from RNAcentral.
GACGAACGCUGGCGGCGUGCCUAAUACAUGCAAGUCGAGCGGAACUGGGGGAGCUUGCUCCUUCCAGUUUAGCGGCGGACGGGUGAGUAACACGUGGGCAACCUGCCCUGCAGAUCGGGAUAACUCCGGGAAACCGGUGCUAAUACCGAAUAGUUUGGCGCCUCUCCUGAGGCGCCAGGGAAAGACGGUUUCGGCUGUCACUGCAGGCUGGGCCCGCGGCGCAUUAGCUAGUUGGUGGGGUAACGGCUCACCAAGGCGACGAUGCGUAGCCGACCUGAGAGGGUGACCGGCCACACUGGGACUGAGACACGGCCCAGACUCCUACGGGAGGCAGCAGUAGGGAAUCUUCCGCAAUGGACGCAAGUCUGACGGAGCAACGCCGCGUGAGUGACGAAGGUUUUCGGAUCGUAAAACUCUGUUGUAAGGGAAGAACACGUACCAACUAACUAUUGGUACCUUGACGGUACCUCACCAGAAAGCCACGGCUAACUACGUGCCAGCCGCCGCAGUAA